GACGAACGCUGGCGGCGUGCUUAACACAUGCAAGUCGAACGGAAAGGCCCUGCUUUUGUGGGGUGCUCGAGUGGCGAACGGGUGAGUAACACGUGAGUAACCUGCCCUUGACUUUGGGAUAACUUCAGGAAACUGGGGCUAAUACCGGAUAGGAGCUCCUGCUGCAUGGUGGGGGUUGGAAAGUUUCGGCGGUUGGGGAUGGACUCGCGGCUUAUCAGCUUGUUGGUGGGGUAGUGGCUUACCAAGGCUUUGACGGGUAGCCGGCCUGAGAGGGUGACCGGCCACAUUGGGACUGAGAUACGGCCCAGACUCCUACGGGAGGCAGCAGUGGGGAAUAUUGCACAAUGGGCGGAAGCCUGAUGCAGCAACGCCGCGUGCGGGAUGACGGCCUUCGGGUUGUAAACCGCUUUCGCCUGUGACGAAGCGUGAGUGACGGUAAUGGGUAAAGAAGCACCGGCUAACUACGUGCCAGCAGCCGCGGUGAUACGUAGGGUGCGAGCGUUGUCCGGAUUUAUUGGGCGUAAAGGGCUCGUAGGUGGUUGAUCGCGUCGGAAGUGUAAUCUUGGGGCUUAACCCUGAGCGUGCUUUCGAUACGGGUUGACUUGAGGAAGGUAGGGGAGAAUGGAAUUCCUGGUGGAGCGGUGGAAUGCGCAGAUAUCAGGAGGAACACCAGUGGCGAAGGCGGUUCUCUGGGCCUUUCCUGACGCUGAGGAGCGAAAGCGUGGGGAGCGAACAGGCUUAGAUACCCUGGUAGUCCACGCUGUAAACGGUGGGUACUAGGUGUGGGGUCCAUUCCACGGGUUCCGUGCCGUAGCUAACGCUUUAAGUACCCCGCCUGGGGAGUACGGCCGCAAGGCUAAAACCCAAAGGAAUUGACGGGGCCCCGCACAAGCGGCGGAGCAUGCGGAUUAAUUCGAUGCAACGCGUAGAACCUUACCUGGGUUUGACAUGGAUCGGGAGUGCUCAGAGAUGGGUGUGCCUCUUUUGGGGUCGGUUCACAGGUGGUGCAUGGCUGUCGUCAGCUCGUGUCGUGAGAUGUUGGGUUAAGUCCCGCAACGAGCGCAACCCUUGUUCACUGUUGCCAGCACGUUAUGGUGGGGACUCAGUGGAGACCGCCGGGGUCAACUCGGAGGAAGGUGGGGAUGACGUCAAGUCGUCAUGCCCCUUAUGUCCAGGGCUUCACGCAUGCUACAAUGGCUGGUACAGAGAGUGGCGAGCCUGUGAGGGUGAGCGAAUCUCGGAAAGCCGGUCUCAGUUCGGAUUGGGGUCUGCAACUCGACCUCAUGAAGUCGGAGUCGCUAGUAAUCGCAGAUCAGCAACGCUGCGGUGAAUACGUUCCCGGG
This 1343-nucleotide ribosomal RNA is filed under the name uncultured bacterium. RNAcentral's name for it is "16S ribosomal RNA". It matches the Rfam family "Bacterial small subunit ribosomal RNA", at positions 28 to 1378 of the family's 1533-position model. The record is from RNAcentral.